CAAUAGCGUAUAUUAAAGUUGUUGCAGUUAGAACGCUCGUAGUCGGAUUUCGGGGCGGGCCGACCGGUCUGCCGAUGGGUACGCACUGGUCGGCGCGUCCUUCCUUCCGGAGACCGUGCCUACUCUUAACUGAGCGGGGGCGGGAGACGGAUCGUUUACUUUGAAAAAAUCAGAGUGUUUCAAGCAGGCAGCUCGCUCUUGCAUGGAUUAGCAUGGGAUAAUGAAAUAGGACUUUGGUGCUAUUUUGUUGGUUUCGAACACCGAAGUAAUGAUUAACAGGGACAGUCAGGGGCACCCGUAUUCCGCCGAGAGAGGUGAAAUUCUCAGACCAGCGGAAGACGAACUACUGCGAAAGCAUUUGCCAGGGAUGUUUUCACUGA
This 380-nucleotide ribosomal RNA is filed under the name uncultured eukaryote. RNAcentral's name for it is "partial 18S ribosomal RNA". It matches the Rfam family "Eukaryotic small subunit ribosomal RNA", at positions 592 to 976 of the family's 1831-position model. The record is from RNAcentral.